RNAcentral lists this ribosomal RNA (867 nucleotides) under uncultured rumen bacterium. RNAcentral describes it as "partial 16S ribosomal RNA". It matches the Rfam family "Bacterial small subunit ribosomal RNA". The record is from RNAcentral.
ACAUGCAAGCUCGAGCGAGAAGCUUAUGAAUGAAACUUCGGUCGAAUGAAUAAGCUGGAAAGCGGCGGACGGGUGAGCUAACGCGUAGGCAACCUGCCCUUAGCAGGGGGAUAGCCAUUGGAAACGAUGAUUAAAACCCCAUAAUGCGAGUUUAUCACAUGUUGAACUCGCCAAAGAUUUAUCGGCUAAGGAUGGGCCUGCGUCUGAUUAGGUAGUUGGUGAGGUAACGGCCCACCAAGCCUACGAUCAGUAGCCGACCUGAGAGGGUGAUCGGCCACAUUGGAACUGAGACACGGUCCAAACUCCUACGGGAGGCAGCAGUGGGGAAUAUUGCACAAUGGGCGAAAGCCUGAUGCAGCAACGCCGCGUGAAGGAUGAAGGUCUUCGGAUCGUAAACUUCCGUCCUUGGGGAAGAAAAGAUGACGGUACCCAUGGAGGAAGCCCCGGCUAACUACGUGCCAGCAGCCGCGGUAAUACGUAGGGGGCAAGCGUUAUCCGGAAUUAUUGGGCGUAAAGAGUGCGUAGGUGGCCCUUUAAGCGAGAGGUUUAAGGCUAUGGCUUAACCAUAGUUCGCCUCCCGAACUGAAGGGCUUGAGUGCAGGAGAGAAAAGCGGAAUUCCUAGUGUAGCGGUGAAAUGCGUAGAUAUUAGGAGGAACACCGUGGCGAAGCGGCUUUUUGACUGAACUGACACUGAGGCACGAAGCUGGGGGCAAAAGGAUAGAUNCCUGNUGUNCNCNCCGUAACAUGANCCUAGUNUCGGGGGAAAACUUUGGUGCCCAUUACNCAUANUGCUCCCUGGGGUUCCCCCCANUUAANUNAGGAUUNCGGGCCCCCANCCNGACUUUNUUUUUUAACCCNAAACUNCG